RNAcentral lists this ribosomal RNA (58 nucleotides) under Thamnolia vermicularis. RNAcentral's name for it is "partial 28S ribosomal RNA". RNAcentral also lists the same sequence under 1 other name. Lineage: Eukaryota; Fungi; Ascomycota; Lecanoromycetes; Pertusariales; Icmadophilaceae. The record is from RNAcentral.
GGUUGACCUCGGAUCAGGUAGGGAUACCCGCUGAACUUAAGCAUAUCAAUAAGCGGAA